UCCACAUUUUUAACGUCGCCAUUUGUAUUUUCAACUUUAUCUUCAUUUUGUUUAUCCAUCAGAUAGCAAAAUGCUUUACUUUCUCUUGAUUUCCAGUCUGCACCUUUUAUAGCUUCAUUGACUUUGUCGCUGAUGAUGGGGUAACCCGAAACUAGUACGACUUUAUAUAAAUAAACGCAAGUUAGAAGUU
Molecule: long non-coding RNA, 190 nt
Organism: Onthophagus taurus
Lineage: Eukaryota; Metazoa; Arthropoda; Insecta; Coleoptera; Scarabaeidae
Source: RefSeq, a predicted model, not a curated record